Molecule: long non-coding RNA, 552 nt
Organism: Numida meleagris (helmeted guineafowl)
Lineage: Eukaryota; Metazoa; Chordata; Aves; Galliformes; Numididae
Exons: 3
Source: RefSeq, a predicted model, not a curated record
UGCAGGGACAUCGUUGUCAGGGACGUCACAGUGGGCACUGUCACCUGCAGCGCUCCAGCCCCAGGAAUCGCAUCCAGCCCUCCACCGGACAUGCUCCACUGGGUCUGUGUCUCUCCUGACCUGAGGACUCCACAUCUGGAUGCAGUACUCCAGGGGAGGUCUCACCAAUGCAGAGCAGAGGGGCAGGAUCACCUCCCUCUCCCAGCUGACCACGCUUCUUUUGAAUCAUCCAGGAUACAGCUGUAGCUGGCCAUCUAAUCCCUCAUGGAGAGAAGCUGCCUGUUCUAUUUGCUCCAAGCCAGCGUCUGUGAGCUAAAAGAGGUGGUGAACAGUGCAUAUUAAGGGAUUUAUAACAGCUUCUGCACUGGUGAAGCCCUACAGAUAUUUCAGAGCUCAUCCUCAGCCCCUGUCAGGUAUAUGGUGGGCUCCAGCAGCAUGGGAAGCCUCCAGGCCCAGCAGAGGUCAGACCUCCCCCAUGCGCAGUGCUGACAAAGGCAUUGAUGGCAACACGGAGACUUUCCUGUGAUUUUAUUGCUUUCCUCCAUCUGACAC